This 590-nucleotide ribosomal RNA is filed under the name Staphylococcus aureus. RNAcentral describes it as "partial 23S ribosomal RNA". It matches the Rfam family "Bacterial large subunit ribosomal RNA", at positions 2333 to 2925 of the family's 2925-position model. Lineage: Bacteria; Bacillati; Bacillota; Bacilli; Caryophanales; Staphylococcaceae. The record is from RNAcentral.
GGAAAUCAUUCAUAGAGUGUAAAGGCAUAAGGGAGCUUGACUGCGAGACCUACAAGUCGAGCAGGGUCGAAAGACGGACUUAGUGAUCCGGUGGUUCCGCAUGGAAGGGCCAUCGCUCAACGGAUAAAAGCUACCCCGGGGAUAACAGGCUUAUCUCCCCCAAGAGUUCACAUCGACGGGGAGGUUUGGCACCUCGAUGUCGGCUCAUCGCAUCCUGGGGCUGUAGUCGGUCCCAAGGGUUGGGCUGUUCGCCCAUUAAAGCGGUACGCGAGCUGGGUUCAGAACGUCGUGAGACAGUUCGGUCCCUAUCCGUCGUGGGCGUAGGAAAUUUGAGAGGAGCUGUCCUUAGUACGAGAGGACCGGGAUGGACAUACCUCUGGUGUACCAGUUGUCGUGCCAACGGCAUAGCUGGGUAGCUAUGUGUGGACGGGAUAAGUGCUGAAAGCAUCUAAGCAUGAAGCCCCCCUCAAGAUGAGAUUUCCCAACUUCGGUUAUAAGAUCCCUCAAAGAUGAUGAGGUUAAUAGGUUCGAGGUGGAAGCAUGGUGACAUGUGGAGCUGACGAAUACUAAUCGAUCGAAGACUUAAUCAA